Molecule: long non-coding RNA, 1513 nt
Organism: Mus musculus (house mouse)
Lineage: Eukaryota; Metazoa; Chordata; Mammalia; Rodentia; Muridae
Product: predicted gene, 32500
Exons: 3
Source: RefSeq, a predicted model, not a curated record
UUGGAGUUGCUAGAAGCAGUCAAAUAUGGACUACAGAUACCUUCUUGUGCCGUGUCAAAGGAAAAGCAGCUGGGAAACACAUAGUAACUGACAAAUGUAGACUGACCUUUAUAACCAGAACUGGCAGAGAUCUGGGUGUGACUUCACAAGGAAAGACAAUGCAAUGGAAGGACUGUGCUGGUCACAGGAAAAACAGUGAGCUUCCUCUCGAUUUCUGCUUUCCUCAGAUUUAGAUGGAUAAAGAAGACACAGGGCAAUCUUGGAUCUGCACUCCACUUCCUGGCCCACAGCUCUGCCUGACUUCUGGGAGGUCUGUGGCCAACCAGAAAAACCAGUUUCAUCAUGCUCCUGUCCAUGAAUCCUGAUAUCUUCUAGUUCCUGUCCCUCUCCACAUGACUUUGUUACCUAAUUCCCUGGUCAUAUCACCAUCAUUACCAUCAUGACCAUCACCAUCUGCAGCAGCAGCAUCACUACCACCACCAGCAGCAGCAGCAAGUGGAGGAGGAGCAGCAGCAGCAGCAGGAGGAUGAGGAGGAGCAGCAGCAGCAGGAGGAGGAAGAGGAGCAGCAGCAGGAGGAUGAGGAGGAGCAGCAGCAGCAGGAGGAGGAAGAGGAGCAGCAGCAGCAGCAGUAGCAGGAUCUAAUCACCAUCCACACUCCUCUUUGUCUACAGCAGUGUUAUUUCUCAGUUCUGUUUCCAGUGCUCUGAGGAAUGAAUCUUUUUCCCUAUUGUAGAUUUUGCAAUCACAUCCCAUUGAAGUUCUGCAUAGCUGUCUUCAAGUUCAGAGGACUGGCCCUGAUCGGGGUCCAUGCUGGAUACCUCUAGCAUGUGACUGUGGACCUUGGCUGAAACAUACAUUGCUUCCAUGCAUGUGAGGGAUUUUCUGAGAUGCUCACGAAGACAGUGCUAUGUUCAUUGUUGUUUCUAGAGAAGUGGUCUCAUUCAGAUUCAGCAAGCAAUUAUUAUAGGCAGGUUGUAUACCAGGUUACCAGGUACAGCAUCUAUAUUUCCAUACAGAAAGAGAACUUGUGAGUCAGUUGUUGGGCCAGCUCAUUAUCUAGUCCCUACCUUUGUGUGUGUGUGUGUCUGUGUGUGUGUGUGUGUGUGUGCGCGCAUGCGUGUGUGCAGUUGAUAAGUGUAGUGAACAUACACAUGUGUGAGGAUGGUUCUGGCCCUUGCAUGCACAUAAAGGUCAGAGGAGGACAUGAAGGUCAGAGGAGGACCUCCAAUGUUCCACUCAAUCACUCUCUGCCUCAUUCCCUGAAGACAGGUCUCUCACUGAGCCUAGAGCUAGCUAGCAGCCAGUGAGGACAGCAAUCCUCCUGUCUCAUUCUCACACAUUUCUGGGAUUACUGACAUCCAUAGUAAUGUUCCACUUUUCAUAUUGAUGAUAGGAUUUGAAUUGAGGUUCUCUUACUAGUACUACAAGCACUCUGGCCCACUGGGUCAUCACCCUGAGUCCCUGCUUCUUAUUUGAACAUCUCUAGUGUGUACCAAGGACCAAGCCUAUGUC